This is a long non-coding RNA of Priapulus caudatus, 141 nucleotides long. RefSeq lists it as uncharacterized. NCBI's taxonomy places the organism in Eukaryota, Metazoa, Priapulida, Priapulimorpha, Priapulimorphida, Priapulidae. The record is from RefSeq and is a predicted model, not a curated record. The transcript has 3 exons.
GGCAUGGUGAGACACAGUACAUUACUUGAGCAAGUAUUUGUAGAGCGUCGUGGAGGGCGGGAAGCAACAAAGGCAGCUCGCCAUCAGAUACCAGCCUCUCUCGUUGUUUCUCUCGUGCUCGUUGCGCCACGUCUGAUUGCA